This 426-nucleotide ribosomal RNA is filed under the name uncultured bacterium. Its description in RNAcentral is "bacterial SSU rRNA". It matches the Rfam family "Bacterial small subunit ribosomal RNA", at positions 354 to 796 of the family's 1533-position model. The record is from RNAcentral.
GUGAGGAAUCUUGCGCAAUGGGGGCAACCCUGACGCAGCGACGCCGCGUGCGGGAAGAAGGCUUUCGGGUCGUAAACCGCUUUUCUGGAGGACGAGGCAGGACGGUACUCCAGGAAUAAGUCCCGGCUAACUACGUGCCAGCAGCCGCGGUAAAACGUAGGGGGCGAGCGUUAUCCGGAAUCACUGGGCGUAAAGGGCGUCUAGGCGGCAGGCUAAGUCUUGCGUGAAAGCUCCCGGCUCAACUGGGAGAGCGCGUGGGAGACUGGUGUGCUAGAGACUCGGAGAGGGGUGUGGAAUUCCCGGUGGAGUGGUGAAAUGCGUUGAGAUCGGGAGGAACACCAGUGGCGAAAGCGGCACCCUGGCCGAGGACUGACGCUGAAGCGCGACAGCGUGGGGAGCAAACGGGAUUAGAAACCCCAGUAGUCC